Rhododendron vialii is the source of this 3740-nucleotide RNA transcript. RefSeq lists it as uncharacterized. The transcript has 3 exons. The record is from RefSeq and is a predicted model, not a curated record. Lineage: Eukaryota; Viridiplantae; Streptophyta; Magnoliopsida; Ericales; Ericaceae.
GUAUAGAUGUCAUCCUUCGAUUCCUUUCGUUGGUUUCGAGGCGGCAGUCGCUCUCUCUAUAUAUACCCCCACAAACAUACGCGCAACGCAUCCAACGGCUCUGAAUAGGGUUUCGUUUAUACUAACUCCAUGGCGAUUUCAUCAGAUAAAAAUGGCGACGGAGACGAAGAAGAAGACGACGAUAGCGAAAACGAAUACCAUCGUGUUUUCGACUAUUGCUUCAGUGAUUUACCAAAGGUUUACCCCUACUUCGGUCCCAUUCUUUACAUCGUCUGAACCCUGGAUCUGGUUGUCUCAGGGGAUUCAGAGCAUUGAUGUAAAGAGAUGGUCUGGAGAGAAUUUUGGGGCAAAGGAUUGCUGCAGAUAAUGCUGAAGCGACUGGCUUUAAAUACUAGAAGGUUCUUGCCCGAUGUGGCUGGUGGUGAUGGUGGAAUAUAUUGAUGCUUACUGCACAAAUGCAAGUAUGUUGAGAGGUUUUGGGGGGAAAGAUGGUUGUAGAAUGGCUACUUAAUGUUCUAUCUCGACCUCCGAUCAUGGAGGCAACCAUAGGGGAUCAACUGUGCUGGGAAAUGGGCAAUGUCAGUGGUUCAAGUAUACCGAAAAAAUGACACAUAUGGUGAUUCCAUUAUGUUGGAGGUGGUUGACAAUGCAUAAUUGAGGCGAUACGCUCGAGGUGUCGUGGUGAUGGAACAACUUGAUGAUGCUCGUUUACAUAGUGGCAACUAAGACCAGUGAGAGACUUCUGGACAAAACAAGGUUGCUGAGUGACUACUCAAUUUGUUCUCUCCUCUAUAUCGGAUAAAGUAGCUUGUUCAAGUAUGUCGAAAAUAUAACCGUGGUACUAAUUCCCAUAUGUUUGAGGUGAUCGACUAGGAUCAUAUCAUCGACUUUCAAUAACAAUCACCAUUGAAAAUUGAAGAUGUUGCUAGUGACUAUGUAUGGAAUGUAUACAUAUGUUUGUAGUUACGUAUGUCUUGUAAUGGGAAGAAUUAUGUUCUCUCCUAUGUUAGUCGUUCAACCUAACUAAUCAAGUCAAUUGUUGCUUUCAUGAUAUAAACGAUAGUACUACCUUGUCAUAUUUUGGUUUAGAAGGCGUGCGCUCGCGUGCAUAGGCACUAAAGCGAGGCGAGGCGCACUGAAAAGGCCUCGGCACCCUGAGGUGAGGCGUAUGUACAUGAAGUAGAGAUAAGGCCCUUGAGGCACAUGCCUCACGAUGAGGUGUGUGGCGCAUGAGGCUAGAAGCUCACAAUUUUUCUUAGAUCUGCGCUCAAAUUUCUUCAUAUUUCAAACUAAAAAGGCUCUAAUCCCUCUAUGAACCAAAUGAAACACAUAAGCCAAACUGUUUAAGUCUUGAAAAAAACUUAGCCAAUGUGGAGUGUUAUGAAUCAAAUGACAAAGAUGAUGAAGUAAUUGGUGUUGAAGAUUAGGUGACCAUGAUUAGAUAGUUGAGUGCCACUAUCCAUGUUACUAUGUGAUCGAACUAAAUGUUAUGCAUUAGAUUUUUAUGGAUGUAAUGAUUUUCUUCGUAUUUGGUGAUUUGAACAUUGGGAAUGCUGUAAUUUAUGGUGUUUGAAAUUGUGGAAAGCAUUUACUUAUGUUCAAUUUUUUCCCUAUAUUAGAUGUGUAAUUAUUUUUUACUUCUUCUGCCUCACUUUGAUGAGGCAUGCGCCUUGCCUUGCGCCUAUGUGUACAUAGAGCCUUUUAAAACACUACCUUGUCAAUUAAUUGACAUGGGAUUCUAUAGCUAUUUUUUUUGAACGUAUAGUUGACUGUGUAGUGCAAAAAUACAAAGAAAGGUACUCAAUUAGCCAAUCCCAAUUGAAUUGAAUGAAGCUUAAUUUUAAUUUGGUUAACAAAGGUUCUAAAAGUAGCUAGGCACUGGUUGGGCGGCCGGGCACUAGCGCCUAGGCCGGUUAAUCGGUGCCUAUUGCCCUAGACAUUAGGCGGAUUUUCCAUUUUUUAAAAUUUUUUUUAGAGUCCUACCUCCUCCCCAAGUUUGAGAGCAAAUACAAACAUAAGUAGAACAAAAUAUUAAUAACAUGAAAACUAAGUAAUAAUGCGAAGUUCAACAUCCAAAGUUCAACCAAAUGAAACUAGUAGUACCAAAUAGCUAGUCUAAUGAGAAGUUUUGAUAUUCAAGGCUUUUGAAAUUUUUUAUCGUGUAAGAGAAUUGGAAAGAUUGGAAAUGUAUUUACAUCAUAGUAAAACUACACCAAAGCCUGUUAUAGUAUAUUACCACAACACGAAAAUCCUUAAUUUUUUAAAGUCACAUCGCCUACCCGCCUAAUCCGCCUAGCCCCACCUGGUCGCGUAAUCUCGCCUAGUUGCCUAGCUCGCCCAGCCAAUUAAUCUUGCCUAGCGGCCGAUUCAUCGGCCUGGCUGCGGUGUACCGCCUAGGUCGACUUUUAGAACAUUGUGGUUAACCUACUCUGACAAGGCUUAAUUUGGUUUUGGGUUUCAUAAAACCUUACGUGUGUUUUCUUGAUAUUGUAACGUUUAGUCCGAUAAGAGAAGGAUAUUGGUGGGAUUUGGGAUGCUUUAAAUGUGAUCUAAUCUAUCGAACGACUCUUACUCUUUUUAAAUUGCUAAUGGCAAUAAUUCUAAAACCACACACAAACUCUCUCACAUUACAUGUGGGCCCCCACACCAUUGGAGGUGUGUAAUGUGUGUGGACCCUACAUGUGAUGUGAAUGAGUUUGUAUGUGGUUGUAGCAAAACUCUUGAAAAUGGACCCAACAACACAACAUGCUAUUCAGCAGCAGCAGCCGCGCACAUGUUUUUUUCUUAGGACAAGUUGACAAGACCCCACAUAUAUAUUACUGAUGCAAUCAAAUAUCGAAAGGGAAGAAUUAAAUAGAUCAGAGAACUCUCCUAACACCAAGGACACUAAAAGACACAAAUGACCCUAUAUUAUACUGCAUCAAUUACGCCCACCCAACCUUCACCCCCUAGCAAUAUUUAGUUCGAUGAAUGUGAACAUUAGUGUAUUUAUUGACACGUAGGCCGAUAUGUAAAUCUAUGACCCUGUUCGUUUUGGGAUUUUGGAUUUGGAUUUGUAGGUAAUGAGUGUAGAGAGAAAUACAGUAAUGAUUGGAAAUAUGUGUAAUGAUUGGAGAGAGAUAAAGAGAAAAAUGAGCGUAAUGAUUGGAGAGAAAUAGUAUAAUGAUUAGAAUCCAAAAUCCAAAAGCCUUAAACGAACGGGAUUAUGUGUUUGAACUUUAAGUCCGCAUGAAUACAGUUUUUACAAUCUUCUUUCCACAAUUGAUUAUUUCACAUGUCGUGUUCGAUGUAAAGUUACAUAUUUUCUUCCUAAAAGUUGACUUCUUGUUUAAAACUUGGAAAAUGUAAGACUAUUAGAAUUUUGACCUUUGUUGGAAGUCCAUAAUAGAGCAAAGAUCAGUUCUAAUAAUUACAAAUCUAUAUUAUAUCAUUGGAAAAGUAGCGAAACGUAUAAAAGAAAAUAUCACUUCUUUUUGCCUGUUUCGCAAUUUUAUGGUUGGAAAUUGACUUCUCUAACUUGUUUGUACAUUGAUACUUCAAACCUUGUCAGUUCAACUUCUUGACUUUCUUAUGAGGCCUAAGGAGAGUUUUUGCAAGAAAGUAGUUUUAGAAUGUAGAAAAGCAUGAUGUAAAAUCCCAGUCUUUUAUAGCACCUUAGUUGCAUGAAGUGGGAACGGGAGUUGGAAGUCCAUAAUAGAACAAAGAUCAGUGCUAAUAAUUACAAAUCUAUAAUAUAUCAU